Long non-coding RNA from Lineus longissimus, 532 nucleotides. RefSeq lists it as uncharacterized. The record is from RefSeq and is a predicted model, not a curated record. NCBI's taxonomy places the organism in Eukaryota, Metazoa, Nemertea, Pilidiophora, Heteronemertea, Lineidae. The transcript is spliced from 3 exons.
AGGAGCUUGGACUGCGCAAAAACCGACUCCUCACCAUUUUCCCGAUUUCUUCCAAAUCUUCUUCAAUAAGUUUUCAGAGAGCAGGUGCCAUGGACCUGCCGACUUUCCGAUGUAACCGUAAUGAAUGCCAGCCAGAAAAUGAGUCUUCUAUUGUAAUUACGGUGACGUAUGAAGCAGAAACUUUCAUGAGAGAGGGUUGGAGCCGGAGUCAUUGCUUUCAGUAAUAAGUAGACCCAACUGUGCAUGCGGACCCCCGGGGUGCGGACCGUGUGAAUGUGCGGGGGAAUGGUUGAAUCAAGACGACACUCCUUCCUGAACUGUAAAGCUGUUGCGCAUACAAUAGUGCAUAAAACAUGUCGUUUCUUCUUGAAUUGAGUGUAUUCUCCAAUACGCCAUUGCAUGAUUACUGUAAAAUGAGCAGGAUGCCGUUGAGACUCUUUUCAGAUGUCUCUUUCCUUUGGUGUGUUUGAAGGUUGAGACGGCUUCUGGCCGAGAUUGCAUCUCAGUAUGGUAAGUUCCUUACUCUGAGGCU